CCUACGGGAGGCAGCAGUGGGGAAUUUUGGACAAUGGGGGAAACCCUGAUCCAGCCAUUCCGCGUGAGUGAAGAAGGCCUUCGGGUUGUAAAGCUCUUUCGGCAGGAACGAAACGGCGGACUCUAACAUAGUCUGUCAAUGACGGUACCUGAAGAAGAAGCACCGGCUAACUACGUGCCAGCAGCCGCGGUAAUACGUAGGGGGCGAGCGUUAAUCGGAAUUACUGGGCGUAAAGCGUGCGCAGGCGGCUUUGUAAGACGGAGGUGAAAUCCCUGGGCUAAACCGAGGAACUGCGUUCGUGACUGCAAAGCUAGAGUGCGGGAGAGGGGGGUGGAAUUCCUGGUGUAGCGGUGAAAUGCGUAGAGAUCAGGAGGAACACCGAUGGCGAAGGCGGCCCCCUGGGUUGACACUGACGCUGAGGCACGAAAGCGUGGGGAGCAAACGGGAUUAGAUCCCCCUGUAGU
RNAcentral lists this ribosomal RNA (464 nucleotides) under uncultured Rhodocyclaceae bacterium. Its description in RNAcentral is "partial 16S ribosomal RNA". It matches the Rfam family "Bacterial small subunit ribosomal RNA", at positions 338 to 794 of the family's 1533-position model. The record is from RNAcentral. Lineage: Bacteria; Pseudomonadati; Pseudomonadota; Betaproteobacteria; Rhodocyclales; Rhodocyclaceae.